Molecule: long non-coding RNA, 853 nt
Filed under: Hordeum vulgare
Lineage: Eukaryota; Viridiplantae; Streptophyta; Magnoliopsida; Poales; Poaceae
Description: long non-coding RNA (HVUL_LNC011375)
Source: RNAcentral
CCCUGUGGCACUUUUUCGUCCCAGUAUUUUUUAUAAAUCCGGAAAAAAAUCCUCGUUGAUUUUUACGGCUUUUGGAGUUGCGCAGAAUAGGUAUCUCAACUUUGCUCCACUUUCAGGCUAGAAUUCCAGUUGCCAGCAUUCUCCCUCUUCAUGUAAAACCUUGCAAAAUAAGAGAGAAAAGGCAUAAGAAUUGUACCGUGAAGUGAAACAACAGCCAAAGAAGCGAUAAAUAUCAACAUGAAAACAUGAUGCAAAAUGGACGUAUCAAAGCACAAGAAUGAUCAUCAAACUACUCUUGAAAAGAUACAAGUGAAGUUCAUAGAGCAUUCUUCAACGAAUAUAGAGAGACCAAUAUCCAAGCUCAAAAUAUAUAAGUGAAGCACACGAAGCAUUCUAUAAAGCCACACUCACAAGAUUUAAGUGAAGCACAUGAAGAAUUCCAUAAAUCAACCAAGGAUUGUAUCAUACCAGCAUGGUGCAUAAAAUAAAAGGGAAUAGUAAACACAAAAUAUGCUCCAAGAAUAGCACAUGUGAAGGAGUGAAAACUUAGGACCAACAUUGGCUAAUCAAUAAUUGGUGACGAAGAGAGGUGGGAUGCGUAGCAUACCCAAGAUUAGAUUCUUGAAACUUCUUGUAAUAUUUGCUUGGGGUGCCUUUGGAAUCCCAAAUCUUGAGCUAUUGUACCCCGUUCAAUCUUCUCAUAUCCUGGUUUCACAUAAGUCUCAGAAACUUCACCCACACAAAACUUGAAAAGAACUUGUGAGAUAGGUUAGUACACAUAAGAAUAAAUCUACACUUCAUGUACUGCAAAAACAAGCUUCAUAAUAGUUUUCAAACAGUAGUUACUGUAUAC